Molecule: ribosomal RNA, 463 nt
Filed under: uncultured bacterium
Lineage: Bacteria
Description: bacterial SSU rRNA
Rfam family: Bacterial small subunit ribosomal RNA
Source: RNAcentral
GGGCCCGCACAAGCAGUGGAGUAUGUGGUUUAAUUCGAAGCAACGCGAAGAACCUUACCAGGGCUUGACAUCCCUUGACGAGUGUAGAGAUACACUUUCUCUUCGGAGCAAGGAGACAGGUGGUGCAUGGUUGUCGUCAGCUCGUGUCGUGAGAUGUUGGGUUAAGUCCCGCAACGAGCGCAACCCCUGUUGUUAGUUGCCAGCACGUAAUGGUGGGCACUCUAGCGAGACUGCCGGUGACAAAUCGGAGGAAGGUGGGGACGACGUCAAAUCAUCAUGCCCCUUAUGUCCUGGGCUACACACGUACUACAAUGGCUGUUACAAAGGGAAGCUAAUCCGCGAGGAGGAGCAAAUCCCCAAAGGCAGUCCCAGUUCGGAUUGCAGGCUGAAACUCGCCUGCAUGAAGUCGGAAUUGCUAGUAAUGGCAGGUCAGCAUACUGCCGUGAAUACGUUCCCGGGCCUU